Transfer RNA from Loxodonta africana (African savanna elephant), 74 nucleotides. It matches the Rfam family "tRNA". From Rfam's summary of the family: Transfer RNA (tRNA) molecules are approximately 80 nucleotides in length. Their secondary structure includes four short double-helical elements and three loops (D, anti-codon, and T loops). Further hydrogen bonds mediate the characteristic L-shaped molecular structure. tRNAs have two regions of fundamental functional importance: the anti-codon, which is responsible for specific mRNA codon recognition, and the 3' end, to which the tRNAs corresponding amino acid is attached (by aminoacyl-tRNA synthetases). tRNAs cope with the degeneracy of the genetic code in two manners: having more than one tRNA (with a specific anti-codon) for a particular amino acid; and 'wobble' base-pairing, i.e. permitting non-standard base-pairing at the 3rd anti-codon position. The record is from Rfam. Lineage: Eukaryota; Metazoa; Chordata; Mammalia; Proboscidea; Elephantidae.
UCCUGGGUGGUGCAAAUGGUUAGUGCAUUUGGCUGCUAACCAAAAGGUUGGAGGUUGGAGUCCACCCAGAGGCA